RNAcentral lists this ribosomal RNA (275 nucleotides) under uncultured bacterium. RNAcentral's name for it is "partial 16S ribosomal RNA". It matches the Rfam family "Bacterial small subunit ribosomal RNA", at positions 399 to 691 of the family's 1533-position model. The record is from RNAcentral.
GCGUGGAUGAUGAAGGCCCUAGGGUUGUAAAGUCCUUUCGACGGGGAAGAUAAUGACGGUACCCGUAGAAGAAGCCCCGGCUAACUUCGUGCCAGCAGCCGCGGUAAUACGAAGGGGGCUAGCGUUGCUCGGAAUCACUGGGCGUAAAGCGCACGUAGGCGGACUCCUAAGUCAGAGGUGAAAUCCUGGAGCUCAACUCCAGAACUGCCUUUGAUACUGGGAGCCUUGAGUUCGGGAGAGGUGAGUGGAACUGCGAGUGUAGAGGUGAAAUUCGU